GCCACUUAGUGAUUUUCUCGAGGAACCGUUGAUUCACACAAUUGGUCAUUGCACUUGGUUGAAAAGCCAUUGGCGUGAAGCUACCGUGUGCCCGAUAAUGACUGAACGCCUCUAAGUCAGAAUCCAAGC
Molecule: non-coding RNA, 129 nt
Organism: Triticum aestivum (bread wheat)
Lineage: Eukaryota; Viridiplantae; Streptophyta; Magnoliopsida; Poales; Poaceae
Source: Rfam